Molecule: ribosomal RNA, 279 nt
Filed under: uncultured bacterium
Lineage: Bacteria
Description: partial 16S ribosomal RNA
Rfam family: Bacterial small subunit ribosomal RNA
Source: RNAcentral
UGCCAGCAGCCGCGGUAAUACGAAGGGAACUAGCGUUGUUCGGAUUUACUGGGCGUAAAGAGCAUGUAGGCGGAUUGGUUAGUUGGAUGUGAAAUCCCAGAGCUCAACUCUGGAACUGCAUUCAAUACUGCCAGUCUAGAGUCUGUAAGGGGGUGGUGGAAUUCCGAGUGUAGAGGUGAAAUUCGUAGAUAUUCGGAGGAACACCAGUGGCGAAGGCGGCUAACUGGACUGAUACUGACGCUGAGGUGCGAAAGUGUGGGGAGCAAACAGGAUUAGAUA